Molecule: transfer-messenger RNA, 348 nt
Filed under: Clostridia
Lineage: Bacteria; Bacillati; Bacillota
Also listed under: 1 other name
Description: SIG351 sp905210525 Standard tmRNA
Rfam family: transfer-messenger RNA
About the family: Bacterial tmRNA, also known as 10Sa RNA or SsrA, is named for its dual tRNA and mRNA-like properties. Its role is to liberate the mRNA from a stalled ribosome. To accomplish this part of the tmRNA is used as a reading frame that ends in a translation stop signal.
Source: RNAcentral
GGGGGCGUACAGGCUUUCGACGGGGAUGACGAAAUCAGAAUAAGCGAGUCGUAGCUCCGUUCUACGUUAAAAACGGAAACUUAAAAAAUAAACGACAAAAAUUCUUUUGAAUUAGUAGCUGCGUAAGCACUACCAUCCGUUCCGCUUUCCUGCAAAGCGGAAUACGGGUGCCGACUAAGCAGGGAACCUCACAGCCAAAGUUUUGAGGCUGUGUGUGAUUAUGAAACUACUGAAAUACGAUCCUGCUCUAUGGGAGCGUACGUAGGGAAUUUAAAACAUAGGCUAUAUUCGUAGAAAGUUUUGACAACGUAUCUUCGGACACGGGUUCGAUUCCCGCCGCCUCCACCA